AACGAACGCUGGCGGCAUGCCUAACACAUGCAAGUCGAACGAGACCUUCGGGUCUAGUGGCGCACGGGUGCGUAACGCGUGGGAACCUGCCCUUAGGUUCGGAAUAACUCCCCGAAAGGGGUGCUAAUACCGGAUAAUGUCUUCGGACCAAAGAUUUGUCGCCUUUGGAUGGGCCCGCGUUGGAUUAGCUAGUUGGUAGGGUAAAAGCCUACCAAGGCGACGAUCCAUAGCUGGUCUGAGAGGAUGAUCAGCCACACUGGGACUGAGACACGGCCCAGACUCCUACGGGAGGCAGCAGUGGGGAAUAUUUAACAAGGGGCGAAAGCCUGAUGCAGCAAUGCCGCGUGAGAGAUGAAGGCCUUGGGGUUGUAAAGCUCUUUUACCCGAGAUGAUAAUGACAGUACCUAGAGAAUAAGCGCCGGCUAACUCCGUG
RNAcentral lists this ribosomal RNA (433 nucleotides) under uncultured bacterium. RNAcentral describes it as "partial 16S ribosomal RNA". It matches the Rfam family "Bacterial small subunit ribosomal RNA", at positions 29 to 507 of the family's 1533-position model. The record is from RNAcentral.